Long non-coding RNA from Tachysurus fulvidraco (yellow catfish), 578 nucleotides. RefSeq lists it as uncharacterized. The record is from RefSeq and is a predicted model, not a curated record. The transcript is spliced from 2 exons. Lineage: Eukaryota; Metazoa; Chordata; Actinopteri; Siluriformes; Bagridae.
CUUUAGUGUCUUUUAUUUUGAAAGAGAUUUCAUUUGAAUGUAUUUAAUUAUUUUUGUAAUUUUAUGUUUUUCUUAUCAAUCCAUAUAAUUUUCAUUUUUUUAUAUAGCACAAGGAAAGAAAACAAUGUACUUUGUAAAAAGUUAGUUUACAUUGGUGUGACGUCACUUAGAGGCGCUGUUACGUCUGACUCUCAGUUCUACAUGUGACUGAAGAGAGUCAGACAGACUGUUGGUGAGAGGAUGUGUGUGUGAUCCCGUGUCUUUUGUUUAAUAAACUGCAGGUAUGUAAACCACAAACCACUAUACGAUCACAUAAUUGAGUGAAAUUGGCUAAAUAUUGUCUGAUAAGUGUGUUUCAUGUGUAAUGUAAAGGAAAAGUGUACAUGUUGAGUUAAUUUUAUUUUCUAUAAUUUUUAUGUAUAUUUGUGUAAGAAAUGUAAGAGACUAUCAGGUGGACUUUAUUCAGGACUCUCAGUUCUACAUGUGACUGAAGAGAGUCAGACAGACUGUUGGUGAGAGGAUGUGUGUGUGAUCCCGUGUCUUUUGUUUAAUAAACUGCAGACGUGGUUCACCAAAGA